GUGGGGAAUCUUCCGCAAUGGACGAAAGUCUGACGGAGCAACGCCGCGUGAGUGAAGAAGGUUUUCGGAUCGUAAAGCUCUUUCGUUAGGGACGAACGUGCUCUUUGUGAAUAAUGAGGAGUAAUGACGGUACCUAAAUAAGAAGCCACGGCUAACUACGUGCCAGCAGCCGCGGUAAUACGUAGGUGGCAAGCGUUGUCCGGAAUUAUUGGGCGUAAAGCGCGCGCAGGCGGGAUAUCAAGUCUGUCUUAAAAGUGCGAGGCUCAACCUCGUGAGGGGACAGAAACUGGUAUUCUUGAGUAUCGGAGAGGAAAGUGGAAUUCCUAGUGUAGCGGUGAAAUGCGUAGAUAUUAGGAAGAACACCAGUGGCGAAGGCGACUUUCUGGACGAAAACUGACGCUGAGGCGCGAAAGCCAGGGGAGCGAACGGGAUUAGAUACCCUGGUAGUCC
This 450-nucleotide ribosomal RNA is filed under the name uncultured bacterium. RNAcentral's name for it is "partial 16S ribosomal RNA". It matches the Rfam family "Bacterial small subunit ribosomal RNA", at positions 354 to 796 of the family's 1533-position model. The record is from RNAcentral.